This 67-nucleotide transfer RNA is filed under the name Podarcis lilfordi (Lilford's wall lizard). RNAcentral describes it as "tRNA.Lys". The stretch from base 3 to 59 matches the Rfam family "tRNA", at positions 9 to 63 of the family's 71-position model. Rfam says of the family: Transfer RNA (tRNA) molecules are approximately 80 nucleotides in length. Their secondary structure includes four short double-helical elements and three loops (D, anti-codon, and T loops). Further hydrogen bonds mediate the characteristic L-shaped molecular structure. tRNAs have two regions of fundamental functional importance: the anti-codon, which is responsible for specific mRNA codon recognition, and the 3' end, to which the tRNAs corresponding amino acid is attached (by aminoacyl-tRNA synthetases). tRNAs cope with the degeneracy of the genetic code in two manners: having more than one tRNA (with a specific anti-codon) for a particular amino acid; and 'wobble' base-pairing, i.e. permitting non-standard base-pairing at the 3rd anti-codon position. The record is from RNAcentral. Lineage: Eukaryota; Metazoa; Chordata; Lepidosauria; Squamata; Lacertidae.
GCAGCUCAGUCGGUAGAGUAUGAGACUUUUAAUCUCCGGGUCGUGGGUUCGAGCCCCACGUUGGGCA